RNAcentral lists this ribosomal RNA (1416 nucleotides) under Streptococcus gordonii. RNAcentral describes it as "bacterial SSU rRNA". It matches the Rfam family "Bacterial small subunit ribosomal RNA". The record is from RNAcentral. Lineage: Bacteria; Bacillati; Bacillota; Bacilli; Lactobacillales; Streptococcaceae.
CUAUCAUGCAGUAGACGCACAGUAUAUACCGUAGCUUGCUACACCAUAGACUGUGAGUUGCGAACGGGUGAGUAACGCGUAGGUAACCUGCCUGGUAGCGGGGGAUAACUAUUGGAAACGAUAGCUAAUACCGCAUAAUAUUAAUUAUUGCAUGAUAAUUGAUUGAAAGAUGCAACUGCAUCACUACCAGAUGGACCUGCGUUGUAUUAGCUAGUAGGUGAGGUAACGGCUCACCUAGGCGACGAUACAUAGCCGACCUGAGAGGGUGAUCGGCCACACUGGGACUGAGACACGGCCCAGACUCCUACGGGAGGCAGCAGUAGGGAAUCUUCGGCAAUGGACGAAAGUCUGACCGAGCAACGCCGCGUGAGUGAAGAAGGUUUUCGGAUCGUAAAGCUCUGUUGUAAGAGAAGAACGGGUGUGAGAGUGGAAAGUUCACACUGUGACGGUAUCUUACCAGAAAGGGACGGCUAACUACGUGCCAGCAGCCGCGGUAAUACGUAGGUCCCGAGCGUUGUCCGGAUUUAUUGGGCGUAAAGCGAGCGCAGGCGGUUAGAUAAGUCUGAAGUUAAAGGCUGUGGCUUAACCAUAGUACGCUUUGGAAACUGUUUAACUUGAGUGCAGAAGGGGAGAGUGGAAUUCCAAUGCGUAGAUAUAUGGAGGAACACCGGUGGCGAAAGCGGCUCUCUGGUCUGUAACUGACGCUGAGGCUCGAAAGCGUGGGGAGCGAACAGGAUUAGAUACCUGGUAGUCCACGCCGUAAACGAUGAGUGCUAGGUGUUAGGCCCUUUCCGGGGCUUAGUGCCGCAGCUAACGCAUUAAGCACUCCGCCUGGGGAGUACGACCGCAAGGUUGAAACUCAAAGGAAUUGACGGGGGCCCGCACAAGCGGUGGAGCAUGUGGUUUAAUUCGAAGCAACGCGAAGAACCUUACCAGGUCUUGACAUCCCGAUGCCCGCUCUAGAGAUAGAGUUUUACUUCGGUACAUCGGUGACAGGUGGUGCAUGGUUGUCGUCAGCUCGUGUCGUGAGAUGUUGGGUUAAGUCCCGCAACGAGCGCAACCCUUAUUGUUAGUUGCCAUCAUUCAGUUGGGCACUCUAGCGAGACUGCCGGUAAUAAACCGGAGGAAGGUGGGGAUGACGUCAAAUCAUCAUGCCCCUUAUGACCUGGGCUACACACGUGCUACAAUGGCUGGUACAACGAGUCGCAAGUCGGUGACGGCAAGCUAAUCUCUUAAAGCCAGUCUCAGUUCGGAUUGUAGGCUGCAACUCGCCUACAUGAAGUCGGAAUCGCUAGUAAUCGCGGAUCAGCACGCCGCGGUGAAUACGUUCCCGGGCCUUGUACACACCGCCCGUCACACCACGAGAGUUUGUAACACCCGAAGUCGGUGAGGUAACCUUAGGAGCCAGCCGCUAAG